GGGGCUAUAGCUCAGUUAGCAGAGCGCUUGCAUCGCAUACAAGAGGCCGGGGGUGCAACUCCCCCUAGCUCCA
This 73-nucleotide transfer RNA is filed under the name Endomicrobiaceae bacterium. RNAcentral describes it as "tRNA-Ala". It matches the Rfam family "tRNA". Rfam says of the family: Transfer RNA (tRNA) molecules are approximately 80 nucleotides in length. RNAcentral also lists the same sequence under 3 other names. Lineage: Bacteria; Pseudomonadati; Elusimicrobiota; Endomicrobiia; Endomicrobiales; Endomicrobiaceae. The record is from RNAcentral.